CGGCAGGCGUGGUGCUUCGGGCCGGAGCGGAGAGCCGUUGGCAGCUGCGGGACCGCGGGGUGGGCUCGGUGGGCUGCGCGGAGCUCGGCUCUGCGGGGAGGCUCAGACAGCCCCGGGCUGCGCGCCCACCCCGCCGCUCCUGGCCCUGGCCCGGUGCACAAAGCUGCGCGCCUGUCUGUCGCCCUCCGCCCGGCUUUGCACCCAGCA
This is an unclassified non-coding RNA of Capra hircus (goat), 207 nucleotides long. NCBI's taxonomy places the organism in Eukaryota, Metazoa, Chordata, Mammalia, Artiodactyla, Bovidae. The record is from Ensembl.